GAUGAACGCUGGCGGCGUGCCUAAUACAUGCAAGUCGAGCGAACAGACGAGGAGCUUGCUCCUCUGACGUUAGCGGCGGACGGGUGAGUAACACGUGGAUAACCUACCUAUAAGACUGGGAUAACUUCGGGAAACCGGAGCUAAUACCGGAUAAUAUAUUGAACCGCAUAGUUCAAUAGUGAAAGACGGUUUUGCUGUCACUUAUAGAUGGAUCCGCGCCGCAUUAGCUAGUUGGUAAGGUAACGGCUUACCAAGGCAACGAUGCGUAGCCGACCUGAGAGGGUGAUCGGCCACACUGGAACUGAGACACGGUCCAGACUCCUACGGGAGGCAGCAGCAGGGAAUCUUCCGCAAUGGGCGAAAGCUUGACGGAGCAACGCCGCGUGAGUGAUGAAGGUCUUCGGAUCGUAAAACUCUGUUAUUAGGGAAGAACAAAUGUGUAAGUAACUAUGCACGUCUUGACGGUACCUAAUCAGAAAGCCACGGCUAACUACGUG
This 497-nucleotide ribosomal RNA is filed under the name uncultured bacterium. Its description in RNAcentral is "partial 16S ribosomal RNA". It matches the Rfam family "Bacterial small subunit ribosomal RNA", at positions 28 to 507 of the family's 1533-position model. The record is from RNAcentral.